GAUGAACGCUGGCGGCGUGCCUAACACAUGCAAGUCGAACGAAGCACUGAGACUUCGGUUUUUGUGCUUAGUGGCGGACGGGUGAGUAACGCGUGAGCAAUCUGCCUUUCAGAGGGGGAUAACGAUUGGAAACGAUCGCUAAUACCGCAUAACGUAUUCGGAUGGCAUCAUCUGAAUACCGAAGUAGCAAUCCGCUGAAAGAUGAGCUCGCGUAUGAUAAGAUAGUUGGUGAGGUAACGGCCCACCAAGUCGACGAGCAGUAGCCGGACUGAGAGGUUGAACGGCCACAUUGGGACUGAGACACGGACCAGACUCAUAAGGGAGGCAGCAGUGGGGAAUAUUGCGCAAUGGGGGAAACCCUGACGCAGCAACGCCGCGUGAUUGAAGAAGGUCUUCGGAUUGUAAAAAUCUUUUAUCAAGGACGAAGAAGUGACGGUACUUGAUGAAUAAGCUCCGGCUAACUACGUGCCAGCCGCCGCAGUAA
This 484-nucleotide ribosomal RNA is filed under the name uncultured bacterium. RNAcentral describes it as "partial 16S ribosomal RNA". It matches the Rfam family "Bacterial small subunit ribosomal RNA", at positions 28 to 523 of the family's 1533-position model. The record is from RNAcentral.